Molecule: ribosomal RNA, 159 nt
Filed under: Knoxdaviesia capensis
Lineage: Eukaryota; Fungi; Ascomycota; Sordariomycetes; Microascales; Gondwanamycetaceae
Description: 5.8S ribosomal RNA
Rfam family: 5.8S ribosomal RNA
About the family: 5.8S ribosomal RNA (5.8S rRNA) is a component of the large subunit of the eukaryotic ribosome. It is transcribed by RNA polymerase I as part of the 45S precursor that also contains 18S and 28S rRNA. Functionally, it is thought that 5.8S rRNA may be involved in ribosome translocation.
Source: RNAcentral
AAAACUUUCAACAACGGAUCUCUUGGCUCUGGCAUCGAUGAAGAACGCASCGAAAUGCGAUAAGUAAUGUGAAUUGCAGAAUUCCSCGAAUCAUCGAAUCUUUGAACRCACAUUGCGCCCAGUAGUUACUCUGCUGGGSAUGCCUGUUCGAGCGUCAUU